This 427-nucleotide ribosomal RNA is filed under the name uncultured Clostridium sp. RNAcentral's name for it is "bacterial SSU rRNA". It matches the Rfam family "Bacterial small subunit ribosomal RNA", at positions 355 to 794 of the family's 1533-position model. Lineage: Bacteria; Bacillati; Bacillota; Clostridia; Eubacteriales; Clostridiaceae. The record is from RNAcentral.
UGGGGAAUAUUGGGGCAAUGGGGCGCAAGCCUGACCCAGCGACGCCGCGUGAGGGAAGAAGGUCUUCGGAUUGUAAACCUUUGUUGACAGGGACGAAUAAGGUGACGGUACCUGUCGAGGAAGCCACGGCUAACUACGUGCCAGCAGCCGCGGUAAUACGUAGGUGGCGAGCGUUAUCCGGAUUUACUGGGUGUAAAGGGCGUGUAGCCGGGUCUGCAAGUCAGAUGUGAAAUCCAUGGGCUUAACCCAUGAACUGCAUUUGAAACUGUGGAUCUUGAGUGCUGGAGGGGCAAUCGGAAUUCCUAGUGUAGCGGUGAAAUGCGUAGAUAUUAGGAGGAACACCAGUGGCGAAGGCGGAUUGCUGGACAGUAACUGACGGUGAGGCGCGAAAGUGUGGGGAGCAAACAGGAUUAGAUACCCUGGUAGU